RNAcentral lists this ribosomal RNA (948 nucleotides) under uncultured bacterium. RNAcentral's name for it is "bacterial SSU rRNA". It matches the Rfam family "Bacterial small subunit ribosomal RNA", at positions 8 to 945 of the family's 1533-position model. The record is from RNAcentral.
AGAGUUUGAUUCGGGCUCAGAUUGAACGCUGGCGGCAGGCUUAACACAUGCAAGUCGAGCGGCAGCGGAAAGAAGCUUGCUUCUUUGCCGGCGAGCGGCGGACGGGUGAGUAAUGUCUGGGGAUCUGCCCGAUGGAGGGGGAUAACUACUGGAAACGGUAGCUAAUACCGCAUAAUGUCGCAAGACCAAAGUGGGGGACCUUCGGGCCUCACACCAUCGGAUGAACCCAGAUGGGAUUAGCUAGUAGGUGGGGUAAUGGCUCACCUAGGCGACGAUCCCUAGCUGGUCUGAGAGGAUGACCAGCCACACUGGAACUGAGACACGGUCCAGACUCCUACGGGAGGCAGCAGUGGGGAAUAUUGCACAAUAGGGGAAACCCUGAUGCAGCCAUGCCGCGUGUGUGAAGAAGGCCUUCGGGUUGUAAAGCACUUUCAGCGGGGAGGAAGGCAAUGGCGUUAAUAGUGUCAUUGAUUGACGUUACCCGCAGAAGAAGCACCGGCUAACUCCGUGCCAGCAGCCGCGGUAAUACGGAGGGUGCGAGCGUUAAUCGGAAUUACUGGGCGUAAAGCGUACGCAGGCGGUCUGUUAAGUCAGAUGUGAAAUCCCCGGGCUUAACCUGGGAACUGCAUUUGAAACUGGCAGGCUAGAGUCUCGUAGAGGGGGGUAGAAUUCCAGGUGUAGCGGUGAAAUGCGUAGAGAUCUGGAGGAAUACCGGUGGCGAAGGCGGCCCCCUGGACGAAGACUGACGCUCAGGUACGAAAGCGUGGGGAGCAAACAGGAUUAGAUACCCUGGUAGUCCACGCUGUAAACGAUGUCGAUUUGAAGGUUGUGGUCUUGAGCCGUGGCUUUCGGAGCUAACGCGUUAAAUCGACCGCCUGGGGAGUACGGCCGCAAGGUUAAAACUCAAAUGAAUUGACGGGGGCCCGCACAAGCGGUGGAGCAUGUGGU